RNAcentral lists this ribosomal RNA (692 nucleotides) under uncultured eukaryote. Its description in RNAcentral is "eukaryotic LSU rRNA". The stretch from base 248 to 397 matches the Rfam family "5.8S ribosomal RNA". The record is from RNAcentral.
UCCGUAGGUGACCUCUGCGGAAGGAUCAUUACCGAACAAAGUCAUAUCCUUGACAAACCCAACCUUCGUGAACUGGACAACGUCCUUGGCGAUUGCUCGAGGCUUGAGGCGCGAUCUAUUCGUGUCUUAGGGUGAGGGUGUUCGCUCGGAGCCUUAGGGCUCCAUUCACAAACCAGUGUCGCGGUCAAACGCGCACGACCCAAAACACACACACUAGUAUGUAUUACACACACACACAAAUACACACAACUUCCAACAAUGGAUAUCUUGGCUCCCGCAACGAUGAAGAACGCAGCGAAAUGCGAUACGUAGUGCGAAUUGCAGAAUUCAGUGAAUCAUCGAACCUUUAAACGCAUCUGGCACUUCUGCUUGCAGGAGUAUGCCUGUUUGAGUGUCUCGUCUUACACCUCGCCAACUCGGCCUCGCGUCGAAGUAUGGCGGUGCUGGGCGUCUGCGGAGCACAUCGUGUGCUUGGCGGUGGCCUAAAGUGGAGGGCACCGAUUGGAGUGUCGCUGCGGCUUACGAUAUAAUAUCGUGGGUUAGCGCUGCGUGCUAGGCCGCUUUCGGGCGGCAUCAACUUGCUUCGCAGCUGCUUUGGCGACGGCGCUCCUUGGUGCGCAACAAACCUCACCUCACUCGAGCGUUGACCUCAAAUCAGGUAAGACUACCCGCUGAAUUUAAGCAUAUCAAUA